Passer montanus (Eurasian tree sparrow) is the source of this 1204-nucleotide long non-coding RNA. RefSeq lists it as uncharacterized. The transcript is spliced from 4 exons. NCBI's taxonomy places the organism in Eukaryota, Metazoa, Chordata, Aves, Passeriformes, Passeridae. The record is from RefSeq and is a predicted model, not a curated record.
CUCGAUCACCUCCUCGAUGGUUCUGAACUUGAGGAUCUGCAUCACCGGCCCGAAGAUCUGCAAAAGGCCAGCAGGGGACACGGGAACGGGGCUGCAGCGCUGAGGCACACGGGGGGAGGAAUUCUGGGUCUGGUGCAGCCUGGAGAGCUGCAGCACUCACCUCCUCCCUGGCGAUGGUCAUGCUGUCCUGCACGUCCCCAAACACCGUGGGCUGGAUGAAGAAGCCCCUGUCUGCAGCGGGGCUGCCACCACACAGCAGCUUGGCUCCCUCCCUCUGGCCCGUGCUGAUGUAGCCCAGGAUCUUCUUGAACUGCUCCUCAUCCACCUGAGAGGCAGCAGGGACACAGGUCUGUGGCAAGAGAACGGGAGUGCAAAGAUCGUGGUGCUCGCCAGGAACUUGCAGAACGCCCAGACAACCACCAAGAGCCUGGGCACAGCCAGCGGGGAAGGAGUGCCCGGGUGCCCUGGAACGCUGCCUUGCAGCAGCACCUCGCACAGGGUGCUGGAUUCCCGGGCAGUGGCUCCUGGGCAGCCCUUCACAAAGUGGCACUCACAAGGACCUCUUGUUCCGAGUGUUCUGCUCCUGUCACAGCCCUGCGCGUGUCAAACCGCCCGUGGGGGAUGCCAGACCUGUUCUCCCUGCACAGAUGUGCCCGUGUGUCCCGAGGGAGCGGCUCAAGGUGUCCCCAGGGCACGUCUCAGAGAUGAGCUCCAGCUCGGGGCUCUCCGAGUGUCCUUCUGUGCAAUCCCGGCAUGGACAACCACGGCACCGGGCACUAGUGCGUGUUAAAAAAAGCCUGUGGCUCUCUCGAGCAGCCCCUUCCCUCCCCUCAGCGUGGCGGCAGAUCCAGCAGCACCAAAACCCCCAGGGCUGUCCCCUGAGCCUGCCCCAAGGAGGCGGGAGGGGCAGGAGUCAGGUGCCUGCUGGGAAACCAUCCCAAAUAUCUGGGCUGGGCAGAGACAGGCUCAGCUCCCUCCCCCUUCCACAGCAGAGCCAAAUGCCCGAGGCUGAGGUGGAAUUUCACCCUGGAGCUUGGGAGAAUCCAAGGCUCGGGUUACCGGCUUCCCUUCAGCCUCUUGGACCUUGUGCUGAGAGGCAGCACGGCCCCCAGGGCUCUCUGCAGCACCCUCGUGCCCCUGAGGGCUGCCAGGUGGUGCCAGCCUGGGCACAUGGGCUGGGAGCUGCACCCACGCUGGAGGAGCA